GGUGAACGCUGGCGGCGUGCUUAACACAUGCAAGUCGAACGAUGAAGCCCAGCUUGCCGGGUGGAUUAGUGGCGAACGGGUGAGUAACACGUGAGUAACCUGCCCUUAACUCUGGGAUAAGCCUGGGAAACUGGGUCUAAUACCGGAUAGGAGCGUCCACCGCAUGGUGGGUGUUGGAAAGAUUUAUCGGUUUUGGAUGGACUCGCGGCCUAUCAGCUUGUUGGUGAGGUAAUGGCUCACCAAGGCGACGACGGGUAGCCGGCCUGAGAGGGUGACCGGCCACACUGGGACUGAGACACGGCCCAGACUCCUACGGGAGGCAGCAGUGGGGAAUAUUGCACAAUGGGCGCAAGCCUGAUGCAGCGACGCCGCGUGAGGGAUGACGGCCUUCGGGUUGUAAACCUCUUUCAGUAGGGAAGAAGCGAAAGUGACGGUACCUGCAGAAGAAGCACCGGCUAACUACGUG
Molecule: ribosomal RNA, 466 nt
Filed under: uncultured bacterium
Lineage: Bacteria
Description: partial 16S ribosomal RNA
Rfam family: Bacterial small subunit ribosomal RNA
Source: RNAcentral